RNAcentral lists this ribosomal RNA (448 nucleotides) under Bacillus sp. G08C017. Its description in RNAcentral is "bacterial SSU rRNA". It matches the Rfam family "Bacterial small subunit ribosomal RNA", at positions 95 to 526 of the family's 1533-position model. Lineage: Bacteria; Bacillati; Bacillota; Bacilli; Caryophanales; Bacillaceae. The record is from RNAcentral.
GCGGCGGACGGGUGAGUAACACGUGGGCAACCUGCCCUGCAAGACGGGGAUAACUCCGGGAAACCGGGGCUAAUACCGGAUAAUAUCUUCCUUCGCAUGAAGGAAGGUUGAAAGGCGGCUGCAAGCUGCCGCUUGCAGAUGGGCCCGCGGCGCAUUAGCUAGUUGGUGAGGUAACGGCUCACCAAGGCGACGAUGCGUAGCCGACCUGAGAGGGUGAUCGGCCACACUGGGACUGAGACACGGCCCAGACUCCUACGGGAGGCAGCAGUAGGGAAUCUUCCGCAAUGGACGAAAGUCUGACGGAGCAACGCCGCGUGAGCGAAGAAGGUCUUCGGAUCGUAAAGCUCUGUUGUCAGGGAAGAACAAGUACCGUUCGAACAGGGCGGUACCUUGACGGUACCUGACCAGAAAGCCACGGCUAACUACGUGCCAGCAGCCGCGGUAAUAC